UACGUAGGGCGCAAGCGUUAUCCGGAAUUAUUGGGCGUAAAGAGCUCGUAGGCGGUUUGUCGCGUCUGCCGUGAAAGUCCGGGCUCAACUCCGGAUCUGCGGUGGGUACGGGCAGACUAGAGUGAUGUAGGGGGAGACUGGAAUUCCUGGUGUAGCGGUGAAAUGCGCAGAUAUCAGGAGGAACACCGAUGGCGAAGGCAGGUCUCUGGGCCAUAACUGACGCUGAGGAGCGAAAGCAUGGGGAGCGAACAGG
This 253-nucleotide ribosomal RNA is filed under the name uncultured bacterium. Its description in RNAcentral is "partial 16S ribosomal RNA". It matches the Rfam family "Bacterial small subunit ribosomal RNA", at positions 524 to 776 of the family's 1533-position model. The record is from RNAcentral.